RNAcentral lists this unclassified non-coding RNA (391 nucleotides) under soil metagenome. RNAcentral describes it as "partial contains 5.8S ribosomal RNA, internal transcribed spacer 2, and large subunit ribosomal RNA". The stretch from base 1 to 122 matches the Rfam family "5.8S ribosomal RNA", at positions 35 to 154 of the family's 154-position model. The record is from RNAcentral.
GAUGAAGAACGUAGCGAAAUGCGAUACUUGGUGUGAAUUGCAGAAUCCCGUGAACCAUCGAGUCUUUGAACGCAAGUUGCGCCCGAAGCCAUUAGGCCGAGGGCACGCCUGCCUGGGCGUCACACGUCGUUGCCCCCCCAUCUACUCCUUCGGGAUUGCGGGGGGCGGAUGAUGGCCUCCCGUGCGCCUCGUCGCGCGGUUGGCAUAAAUGCCAAGUCCUCGGCGACGCACGCCACGACAAUCGGUGGUUGCGAAACCUCGGUUGCCCGUCGUGUGCGGUCGUCGCGCAUCGAGGGCUCGAAAAAAUUGUCUGGCUCCGGCUCGGCUUUCAACGCGACCCCAGGUCAGGCGGGGUUACCCGCUGAAUUUAAGCAUAUCAAUAAGCGGAGGA